RNAcentral lists this long non-coding RNA (208 nucleotides) under Mytilus galloprovincialis (Mediterranean mussel). Lineage: Eukaryota; Metazoa; Mollusca; Bivalvia; Mytilida; Mytilidae. The record is from RNAcentral.
UACAAGUUUGACCUGAAUGUAAACCAAUCUUUACAGAAAGCCGAUCUGUCAUGGUAUGGUGCUCGUAUUGUUAUGUCACCACAACAGCCAUAAGUCCCAGAUAACCGGAAAUAACAACAGUAAACUGGACACCAUCUUGAGUCAUGUGUCCGGCGGCCAUACAAAAAACUUCGGUAACGGCAACAUUCACCAGCUUCAGUUGGUGUUG